CAUGUCUGUUUGGAGAUAUAAAAAGUCUAGCCUGCUCACUGAUAUUAUUUUUAAGAGCCGCGGUAUUUCUGACUGUGCAAAGGUAGCAUAAUCGUUAGUUUUUUAAUUGAAAUCUUGUAUGAAUGGUUUGACAAGAAAAAGACUGUCUUUAUAAUUAUUAAUUGAAUUUAACUUUUAAGUGAAAAGGCUUAAAUGAAUUAAAAAGACGAUAAGACCCUAUAAAGCUUAAUAUUAAUUUCUUAUUUAAUAAAAUUUUGUAUAAUAUAAAUGUUUGGUAAGAUUAUUUAUUUUAUUGGGGUGAUAAUGGUAAAAUGAUUAUUAACUGUUAAUUUUAUAAAAACAAAAGUAAAUGAAUAAAAAAUUUUAUUUGUUAAAUGAUCCUAUUUAAAGAUUUAAAGUUUAAGUUACUUUAGGGAUAACAGCGUAAUUUUUUUUGAGAGUUCUUAUCGAGAAAAAAGUUUGCGACCUCGAUGUUGAAUUAAAAUAUCUAUAUAAUUGCAGGAGUUAUAUAAGAAGGUCUGUUCGA
This 526-nucleotide ribosomal RNA is filed under the name Parasesarma ungulatum. RNAcentral describes it as "partial 16S ribosomal RNA". The record is from RNAcentral. Lineage: Eukaryota; Metazoa; Arthropoda; Malacostraca; Decapoda; Sesarmidae.